GACGAACGCUGGCGGCGUGCUUAACACAUGCAAGUCGAACGGAAAGGCCCUGCUUUUGUGGGGUGCUCGAGUGGCGAACGGGUGAGUAACACGUGAGUAACCUGCCCUUGACUUUGGGAUAACUUCAGGAAACUGGGGCUCAUACCGGAUAGGAGCUCCUGCUGCAUGGUGGGGGUUGGAAAGUUUCGGCGGUUGGGGAUGGACUCGCGGCUUAUCAGCUUGUUGGUGGGGUAGUGGCUUACCAAGGCUUUGACGGGUAGCCGGCCUGAGAGGGUGACCGGCCACAUUGGGACUGAGAUACGGACCAGACUGCUACGGGAGGCAGCAGUGGGGAAUAUUGCACAAUGGGCGGAAGCCUGAUGCAGCAACGCCGCGUGCGGGAUGACGGCCUUCGGGUUGUAAACCGCUUUCGCCUGUGACGAAGCGUGAGUGACGGUAAUGGGUAAAGAAGCACCGGCUAACUACGUG
This 468-nucleotide ribosomal RNA is filed under the name uncultured bacterium. Its description in RNAcentral is "partial 16S ribosomal RNA". It matches the Rfam family "Bacterial small subunit ribosomal RNA", at positions 28 to 507 of the family's 1533-position model. The record is from RNAcentral.